Molecule: transfer RNA, 57 nt
Filed under: Halicephalobus gingivalis
Lineage: Eukaryota; Metazoa; Nematoda; Chromadorea; Rhabditida; Panagrolaimidae
Description: tRNA-Ala
Source: RNAcentral
UGGGACUUGAUUUUGUUAUAAAUAUUUAAUUUGCAUUUAAAAGAAUUUAAGUUCUAU